This 450-nucleotide ribosomal RNA is filed under the name uncultured Archaeospora. RNAcentral describes it as "SSU rRNA". It matches the Rfam family "Eukaryotic small subunit ribosomal RNA", at positions 569 to 1021 of the family's 1831-position model. The record is from RNAcentral. Lineage: Eukaryota; Fungi; Glomeromycota; Glomeromycetes; Archaeosporales; Archaeosporaceae.
AGCAGCCGCGGUAAUUCCAGCUUCAAUAGCGUAUAUUAAAGUUGUUGCAGUUAAAAAGCUCGUAGUUGAAUUUUGGAUUCUUCCAAUUGGUCCAUCUUUUAGAUGAGUACUGGUUGUGUGGGGUCUAUCCGCCUGGUAAUACGUAAUGUCCUUUAUUGGAUGUUGCGGGUAGUCAGGACCUUUACCUUGAAAAAAUUAGAGUGUUUAAAGCAGGCUUAUGCCGGAAUACAUUAGCAUGGAAUAAUAGAAUAGGACGAAGUUGUUUUAUUUUGUUGGUUUCUAGGACAACCGUAAUGAUUAAUAGGGAUAGUUGGGGGCAUUAGUAUUCAAUUGUCAGAGGUGAAAUUCUUGGAUUUAUUGAAGACUAACUACUGCGAAAGCAUUUGCCAAGGAUGUUUUCAUUAAUCAAGAACGAAAGUUAGGGGAUCGAAGACGAUCAGAUACCGUCGU